UUACCGGAGAUUUUAUGGACCCCGAACCCACUCCCGACCCUCGAUGGAGCCAUCUUUUUUUCCGGUAAUCCCGCUUAGCGCUGCUUUACCGGAAGCGUAAAGCAGCGACGUCC
RNAcentral lists this non-coding RNA (113 nucleotides) under Klebsiella grimontii. Its description in RNAcentral is "Magnesium riboswitch aptamer (Magnesium responsive RNA element)". It matches the Rfam family "Magnesium riboswitch aptamer (Magnesium responsive RNA element)". Rfam says of the family: The Magnesium sensor RNA element is a cis-regulatory element that regulates the expression of the magnesium transporter protein MgtA. It is located in the 5' UTR of this gene. Lineage: Bacteria; Pseudomonadati; Pseudomonadota; Gammaproteobacteria; Enterobacterales; Enterobacteriaceae. The record is from RNAcentral.